UGCCUACGGGCGGCAGCAGUGGGGAAUCUUGCGCAAUGGGCGAAAGCCUGACGCAGCCAUGCCGCGUGGAUGAUGAAGGUCUUAGGAUUGUAAAAUCCUUUCAGCGGGGACGAUAAUGACGGUACCCGCAGAAGAAGCCCCGGCUAACUUCGUGCCAGCAGCCGCGGUAAUACGAAGGGGGCUAGCGUUGCUCGGAUUUACUGGGCGUAAAGGGCGCGUAGGCGGACAGUUAAGUCGGGGGUGAAAGCCCGGGGCUCAACCUCGGAAUUGCCUUCGAUACUGGCUGUCUUGAGUACGGGAGAGGUGUGUGGAACUCCGAGUGUAGAGGUGAAAUUCGUAGAUAUUCGGAAGAACACCAGUGGCGAAGGCGACACACUGGCCCGUUACUGACGCUGAGGCGCGAAAGCGUGGGGAGCAAACAGGAUUAGAUACCCGGGUAGUCC
RNAcentral lists this ribosomal RNA (443 nucleotides) under uncultured Caulobacteraceae bacterium. RNAcentral's name for it is "bacterial SSU rRNA". It matches the Rfam family "Bacterial small subunit ribosomal RNA", at positions 335 to 796 of the family's 1533-position model. Lineage: Bacteria; Pseudomonadati; Pseudomonadota; Alphaproteobacteria; Caulobacterales; Caulobacteraceae. The record is from RNAcentral.